Molecule: ribosomal RNA, 203 nt
Filed under: uncultured bacterium
Lineage: Bacteria
Description: partial 16S ribosomal RNA
Rfam family: Bacterial small subunit ribosomal RNA
Source: RNAcentral
CGAUUACGGGAGGCAGCAGGUGGGGAAUAUUGCGCAAGUCGGGGGGAACCCUGACGCAGCCAUGCCGCGUGAAUGAAGAAGGCCUUCGGGUUGUAAAGUUCUUUCGGUAGCGAGGAAGGCAUUUAGUUUAAUAAACUAGGUGAUUGACGUUAACUACAGAAGAAGCACCGGCUAACUCCGUGCCAGCAGCCGCGGUAAUAUCG